Molecule: non-coding RNA, 1994 nt
Organism: Chiloscyllium plagiosum (whitespotted bambooshark)
Lineage: Eukaryota; Metazoa; Chordata; Chondrichthyes; Orectolobiformes; Hemiscylliidae
Source: RefSeq, a predicted model, not a curated record
UUCAUCGACACCACAAACUGCCGGUCUCCACAUUACGGGGAAUAAAUAACACAAAGAACUAAGUUAAUAUUAUGCGGCAGUACGAUUAUUUGCCACAAGAGGGAACUAUAGCAUUAUUGUAAAUUGCAGUACUUUUGUGGAUAAUCUGAUACAGGGACGUAAUACCCGGGGGCAGAUCUUCCGAUUAAGUUUGAAAACUCUACUUCAAAAAUACGAUCUCCUGGAAGAGGAGUCCUGAGUCGGCAGUCUUCUCAGCUGAAGCUGUCAACGCAGUUCGUUCCAGCAACGAAUUGAAUCGGCAUUUUAACUGGGACCUUUUUUUUUUCGUAACAAUUCGAACUCUAUUCCAGGACUUAAUGGUCUAGAAACCACUUCGGUACCGAGGGAAGUUUAAAGAAUCGAUGGAAAAACAAGUUUUCAAGCUGGCAGGAGCUCUAGAGGACAUGAGAAGGUAUUCCAGUAUUGUCGCUUUCACAAGUUGUGAAUCAGAUUUCAAAAGACAGCUGAAUGGAGAGUUGCAUUACUGUUGAUUGAAGAAAAGCACAAAAGGACAACAGACUUCAUUCUUAGUUGCACAUUGAAGUUGAUUUGUGUAAUAGCUGCCAGACCAGCUAGAAUGGGAGUAUAGAUUCAUGUAAUCUUUCAGGUUUCCAUCAUGUCACCUUUGGUUCCUCAAUAUAUUUUAACUGUUUCCAGUUUGAAGUGAACAUUGAUUUUAAUUUGUUUUUGUGCUGAAUUUAUUUUGGAAAUUGUACUAAAUUUGCAACCGUUGAUGUGUUCAUGUUUUGGAGUGUAUAAAGAAGAAUUUAUAAGUUGCUUGUAAAAUUUACACAAAAUACCAGAGAUCUUUGAAAAGUAUGUGACCAUGUGUUUUGUCUAAUUGAUUCUCAGAUUUGAUUUCAUGAAACAUUUGCCUGAUCUGAUGGGUGACAACAAUGCAAAACACAAUAUUACUUUUCACUAGUGGUUGUUCUGCUGCCUCAAACAAUCCAUAUUUAAUUUAAUACUGUUGGUCAAGAUAAAUGCUAUUGAGCAGUGUUUUAUUCUGCCAUAAAUCAAUCUGUUUUAGUAAUGGUUGACUUCUUAAAAACAACCAAGUAGUAAGUUAGGUGGUAUUACAAUCCAAGUCCAGACUGUUCAAUUUAUACCAAGCACACUGAGAGGUCAGAAGACUUAUUAAAAGAUUAAAGCCACAGAUGCCACUGUUUUGAACAAGUACCAAUGAAGUUUACAAAUUAGAACAGAAAUGUAACCUACGUGUGUGCAGCUGGCUUCCUAACACCUAAAACUAACUUAGUAAAAGUGGGUAGUAAGUUGUGGUUGAACACUACAAAGCGCACAUCAAAUAGCAGAUAUGAUCAAGACAGUUCCCAAGAUCUCUCAGCAAUUCUUCCCUCACCCCAAUUAAUGACAGUAGAUCAUUAAAUCUCAUGAUGCUUCAGGGCUUACAAUUCUUCACUUUUGCAGAAAUUCCCACUCAAAUGGCUCAAUCAUGAAAUGUCCUCAGAACUGAUCUGUUCUAGACGGUUGUUCUCCUUUCCUCUAAGUAUAAUAAUUUCUGAGCAUAAAUACGGAUUUGAUUGAAAAGCAUAUAUAGUUAACUAGGUUGGAUACACAAGCUUAAAAAGAAAGUUUCAUACAGAAGUUGAGCAUAAAAGUGUCAUCACAGCUAGCAAAAAAUGGAGAUACUAAAAGGUAUCUAACAGAUACUAACAGGCAUAAUGCACGUGCUGUUUAUUAUAUAAUCACAUCCAACAAACAGGCAUAAACAAUAGAUUAAUUUUUUUUCAAAAAGGCGUAGAAAGAUGCAUAGCAACAUCAAACGUGGACAUGAAGUUAUUUACAGAAGAAGAAAAUAAACCAGGAUAAUGCAAUGCCCAUAAAAACCAGGAAAUGAAACCUCGUCAUUGCUAAAUCUCUAAUGAGGGAUCAUUUUAAGAUUAAAAGAAUAAAGAAAUGAUGAAAGGAGUAUAAAUAUCAAAGUUUGUGCGAAG